GACGAACGCUGGCGGCGUGCUUAACACAUGCAAGUCGAACGGAAAGGCACUAGCUUGCUGGUGUUCUCGAGUGGCGAACGGGUGAGUAACACGUGGGUAAUCUGCUCUGCACUCUGGGAUAAGCCUAGGAAACUGGGCCUAAUACUGGAUAUGACACUUCCUCUGAUGGGGUGCGGUGGAAAGUGUUUCGGUGUAGGAUGAGCGCGCGGCCUAUCAGCUUGUUGGUGGGGUGAUGGCCUAGCAAGGCGAAGCCGGGUAGCCCGCCUGGGAGGGUAAUCGGCCACAUUGGGACUGAGGGACGGAGCAGACUCCUACGGGAGGCAGCAGUGGGGAAUCUUGUACAAUGGGCGGACGCCUGAGAAGGAGGCGCCCGGUUUGGGAAGACGGUUUUUGGGUAGAGAACAGCUUUCGGCUGAGACGAAGCGUAAGUGACGGUACCUGAAGAAGAAGCACCGGCUAACUACGUG
RNAcentral lists this ribosomal RNA (467 nucleotides) under uncultured bacterium. RNAcentral describes it as "partial 16S ribosomal RNA". It matches the Rfam family "Bacterial small subunit ribosomal RNA", at positions 28 to 507 of the family's 1533-position model. The record is from RNAcentral.